This 1150-nucleotide unclassified non-coding RNA is filed under the name Hevea brasiliensis (rubber tree). The record is from RNAcentral. Lineage: Eukaryota; Viridiplantae; Streptophyta; Magnoliopsida; Malpighiales; Euphorbiaceae.
ACAGUCCCACCACCAGUUUAUCAAGUUUGGCGGCUAUGAAAGACUGAAACCACUUAACACCAUUUCAGUCCCGAUAACUAAACCAUCUGCUUAUCUGUGACCGAUUAUUGCCGUAAUCCCAAACCCCUUCUUCUUAUUAAAGUUUUGAUCUUUGUUUUACAAUCUCAUCAUUUCUUUGUGAAACCAUGAAUUUCUUUAGCUGGGUUUUUUUGGUGGUCUUUUUUCAUUUAUUGAGUCAAACUUUUAGCUUAAAUGGGAUGCCAUUGGAUAUCUCAACAAAGUUUCUCAAUUAUGCCAAGAAAGAGGAGCUUUUCAAUUGGAUGGUGGGUGUGAGGAGAAAGAUACAUGAGAAUCCAGAACUGGGUUAUGAGGAAUUUGAAACUAGUAAGCUUAUUAGAGAAGAAUUGAAUAAAAUAGGUAUUAAAUAUAAAUACCCAUUUUCAGUUACUGGCGUUGUUGGCUUCAUUGGGACUGGCAAACCUCCUUUUGUUGCAAUAAGGGCGGACAUGGAUGCUCUUGCUAUGCAGGAAAUGGUAGAGUGGGAACACAAGAGUAGAGUUCCUGGGAAGAUGCAUGCUUGUGGACAUGAUGCUCAUGUCACUAUGCUUCUUGGUGCAGCAAAGAUCCUUCAAGCCCAUCGGGAAGAGAUAAAGGGUACAGUGGUUCUUGUUUUCCAACCAGCUGAGGAAGGAGGUGGUGGGGCAAAGAAAAUGAUAGAUGCAGGAGCAUUAGAGAAUGUCAAUGCAAUCUUUGGGCUGCAUGUUGAUCCCAGGUUGCCAAUAGGUCAUGUGGCUUCCAGACCUGGUCCUUUACUGGCUGGGAGUGGCUUCUUUGAAGCAGUAAUAAGUGGAAAAGGAGGUCAUGCUGCCAUUCCUCAGCACUCAAUAGAUCCAAUAUUGGCAGCUUCUAAUGUGAUUGUGAGCUUACAACAUCUGGUUUCAAGGGAAGCUGAUCCACUGGACUCACAGGUGGUAACCGUUGCAAAAUUCCAAGGGGGUGGUGCGUUCAAUGUUAUUCCAGAUUCUGUUACAAUUGGUGGCACCUUCCGAUCCUUUUCAAAACAAAGCUUUAUGCAACUUAGGCAACGUAUUGAGGAGGUCAUCACAGGGCAAGCUUCUGUACAGAGGUGUAAAGCAUCUAUUGAUUUCCU